GACGAACGCUGGCGGCGUGCUUAACACAUGCAAGUCGAACGAAGAGCGAUGGAAGCUUGCUUCUAUCAAUCUUAGUGGCGAACGGGUGAGUAACGCGUAAUCAACCUGCCCUUCAGAGGGGGACAACAGUUGGAAACGACUGCUAAUACCGCAUACGAUCUAAUCUCGGCAUCGAGGAUAGAUGAAAGGUGGCCUCUACAUGUAAGCUAUCACUGAAGGAGAGGAUUGCGUCUGAUUAGCUAGUUGGAGGGGUAACGGCCCACCAAGGCGAUGAUCAGUAGCCGGUCUGAGAGGAUGAACGGCCACAUUGGGACUGAGACACGGCCCAGACUCCUACGGGAGGCAGCAGUGGGGAAUCUUCCGCAAUGGACGAAAGUCUGACGGAGCAACGCCGCGUGAGUGAUGACGGCCUUCGGGUUGUAAAGCUCUGUUAAUCGGGACGAAAGGCCUUCUUGCGAAUAGUGAGAAGGAUUGACGGUACCGGAAUAGAAAGCCACGGCUAACUACGUG
This 510-nucleotide ribosomal RNA is filed under the name uncultured bacterium. RNAcentral describes it as "partial 16S ribosomal RNA". It matches the Rfam family "Bacterial small subunit ribosomal RNA", at positions 28 to 507 of the family's 1533-position model. The record is from RNAcentral.